CAGCCGCCACGGUAAUACGUAGGGUGCGAGCGUUAAUCGGAAUUACUGGGCGUAAAGCGUGCGCAGGCGGUGAUGUAAGACAGUUGUGAAAUCCCCGGGCUCAACCUGGGAACUGCAUCUGUGACUGCAUCGCUGGAGUGCGGCAGAGGGGGAUGGAAUUCCGCGUGUAGCAGUGAAAUGCGUAGAUAUGCGGAGGAACACCGAUGGCGAAGGCAAUCCCCUGGGCCUGCACUGACGCUCAUGCACGAAAGCGUGGGGAGCAAACAGGAUUAGAUACCCCCGUAGUCCCUGUCUCUUAUAC
This 301-nucleotide ribosomal RNA is filed under the name uncultured bacterium. RNAcentral's name for it is "partial 16S ribosomal RNA". It matches the Rfam family "Bacterial small subunit ribosomal RNA", at positions 509 to 807 of the family's 1533-position model. The record is from RNAcentral.